AACCCUUGUGGAGGAGGACGCCGAAGGUGGGGCUAAUGACUGGGGUGAAGUCGUAACAAGGUAGCCGUACCGGAAGGUGCGGCUGGAUCACCUCCUAACAGGGAGACAACAAAAUGUUUAAUAUUAUUAUUUUGUCACCUUAGGUCGAUCGGUAUCUCACAUUCUUAAUUUAUUAAGGAUUUUAUUUCCUAAGUUUUUUCUAGGUCACACCCAUUACUUUUCCUGGGCCAUUAGCUCAGGUGGUUAGAGCGCACCCCUGAUAAGGGUGAGGUCCCUGGUUCAAGUCCAGGAUGGCCCAUAUCUCUAUGUUGGGGGUAUAGCUCAGUUGGUAGAGCGCCUGCUUUGCAAGCAGGAUGUCAGCGGUUCGAGUCCGCUUACCUCCACUGAUUACCACCUCUUCCAUAAUUAUUAAGGAAAUGUUUUGAGUAGUGAUCAAAUUCUGAACGAAUCUAGCUUCCUAAUUUAUUCAUUAAGAUGCUGGACUCAUUGAAUUAUUUUCAUUGUUUUCAGAGAACCUUGACAACUGCAUAGAUUAUUUUUAAAGACAAUAAGCAUCUUUAUGAUGCAGAUUUAUUAUUUGUGCGAAUGCAUUAAUAACAAUUCUAUUAAGCUGAUGCUUCAAUUAUGAAGUUAUUGGUCAAGCUACAAAGGGCUCACGGAGGAUACCUAGGCACACAGAGGCG
RNAcentral lists this unclassified non-coding RNA (683 nucleotides) under uncultured Prochlorococcus sp. Its description in RNAcentral is "partial may contain 16S ribosomal RNA, 16S-23S ribosomal RNA intergenic spacer, and 23S ribosomal RNA". The stretch from base 1 to 98 matches the Rfam family "Bacterial small subunit ribosomal RNA", at positions 1437 to 1533 of the family's 1533-position model. Lineage: Bacteria; Bacillati; Cyanobacteriota; Cyanophyceae; Synechococcales; Prochlorococcaceae. The record is from RNAcentral.